GCCUAGAUGCACAAAUAUAAUUAAAUAUUUUUAAUAUUUAAAAACAAUAAAUAAGAAGAAUAAACUAGCAAAUAACUAACUUGACAAUAUAAUAAUAAAAUGAAGAAAGAGAGAGAAGAUGGCCUGUGGAUCGAAGCACGCUGAUGUGCUGUCCCAGGAAAGUUUAUGCCCCCCACGCACGGGUCUGCUGGCACAGAUCUCCUAGAGAUACGACGACCCAAUACAGAACCACGUCUUCCCCGUCAGUGCGCCUCCAGGGAAGAAAGAAGAGCACGUUCACGCUUGCAGAUAGCUCAAAAGAAACUUAGAAAAAUUAUGAGGAGAAGAAAAAUUUUCUUUAUUUCUUUU
RNAcentral lists this long non-coding RNA (348 nucleotides) under Phoenix dactylifera (date palm). RNAcentral describes it as "long non-coding RNA (PDAC_LNC020458)". Lineage: Eukaryota; Viridiplantae; Streptophyta; Magnoliopsida; Arecales; Arecaceae. The record is from RNAcentral.